Molecule: ribosomal RNA, 627 nt
Filed under: uncultured fungus
Lineage: Eukaryota; Fungi
Description: eukaryotic LSU rRNA
Rfam family: Eukaryotic large subunit ribosomal RNA
Source: RNAcentral
CCCGCUGAACUUAAGCAUAUCAAUAAGCGGAGGAAAAGAAAUUAACAAGGAUUCCCCUAGUAACUGCGAGUGAAGCGGGAAGAGCUCAAAUUUGAAAUCUGGCGGCUUCGCCGUCCGAGUUGUAUUCUGGAGAAGCGUUUUCCGUGCUGGACCGUGUACAAGUCCCUUGGAACAGGGCGUCGUAGAGGGUGAGAAUCCCGUCUUUGACACGGACUGCCAGUGCUCUGUGAUGCGCUCUCGAAGAGUCGAGUUGUUUGGGAAUGCAGCUCAAAAUGGGUGGUAAAUUCCAUCUAAAGCUAAAUAUUGGCGAGAGACCGAUAGCGAACAAGUACCGUGAGGGAAAGAUGAAAAGCACUUUGGAAAGAGAGUGAAACAGUACGUGAAAUUGUUGAAAGGGAAACGCUUGAAGUCAGUCGCGUCUGCCGGAACUCAGCCCUGCUUCUGCUUGGCGCACUUUCCGGUCCGACGGGCCAGCAUCGGUUUCGUGGGGCGGACACUGGCGGGGGGAAGGUGGUGGCUCCGGCCGCGUUAUAGCCCUCUGUCGCAAACGUCUCGUGGGACCGAGGAAUCCGGCGCAAGCCUGGGAUGCUGGCGUAAUGGCUUUAAACGACCCGUCUUGAAACACGG